RNAcentral lists this ribosomal RNA (521 nucleotides) under uncultured bacterium. Its description in RNAcentral is "bacterial SSU rRNA". It matches the Rfam family "Bacterial small subunit ribosomal RNA", at positions 373 to 884 of the family's 1533-position model. The record is from RNAcentral.
AGACGAAAGUCUGACGGAGCAACGCCGCGUGAGUGAAGAAGGUUUUCGGAUCGUAAAACUCUGUUUUCAGGGACGAAUGUGCGAUAUGUGAAUAAUGUGUUGUAAUGACGGUACCUGACAAGAAAGCCACGGCUAACUACGUGCCAGCAGCCGCGGUAAUACGUAGGUGGCAAGCGUUGUCCGGAAUUAUUGGGCGUAAAGCGCGCGCAGGUGGGAUAAUAAGUCUGAUGUUAAAGUUCGGGGCUCAACCCCGUGAAGCAUUUGGAUACUGUUAUUCUUGAGUGCAGGAGAGGAAAGUGGAAUUCCUAGUGUAGCGGUGAAAUGCGUAGAUAUUAGGAGGAACACCAGUGGCGAAGGCGACUUUCUGGACUGUGUCUGACACUGAGGCGCGAAAGCCAGGGUAGUGAACGGGAUUAGAUACCCCGGUAAUCCUGGCCGUAAACGAUGGGUACUAGGUGUUGGGGGUAUCGACCCCUCCAGUGCCGGAGUUAACGCAAUAAGUACCCCGCCUGGUGAGUACG